UGAAACUGAUCAGGCAGCCUCCAGCUCCAUAAUUAGGGCCAAUUGAAGGAGACAAAGAAAUCUAUGGAGAUCACAGUGGGAAGUGGUAGUGAUGAACGCUGGCUUUGAAACAGCGUUUUGUACUCACUGGACCAUCACUGUCUUUACAUAAAAGCUGCCUGCCUCCUUUCCCUCACUCCCCUCCCUGGGAGCAGAGGCCGCCGGGGAGGCAGGCUCCAGACAGCCCCUCCAGCAAUUGCCUUUUCUGGGUCAGGCCUCAUUUCUCGUGGCACGACAGGAGGAGGACGGGGGGCGGGUGAGGCCUCCUCUUUUGUUUUUUUGUGUUUUGGCAGUGGGUAAAGACAAAAGGCAGGCAUGAAAAGCCCCCACUCUCACAUGCAUCUGAAUAUGGGGGUGCUGCAGGAAGGUGACUCACUCACUGGCAUGCUGGGAGAGCACAGGGCCCGUGUGUGAGUUUGCGUGCGAAUGUGUGAGCAUGUGUGAGUUCCUGCGUGUGUGACUUCAGGCGUGUGUGUGUGUGUGUUUGUGUGUGUGUUGGAAUGGGGGUGGGGGGCGGUCCUGGAAAGGCCGAGAGCCUUGGAAUCUGAGGAGUCUGCAGCCCAUUCUUGAUACUGCUUUACUUUCCAAAAAGUUAUGACAACAAAACCACCCUGGGGCCCAGACCUGGAAGCCGUCAGCUAUGGAGGACCCUGGAAGCAGGCAGAGAAAGGUUUGGAGUUUUCAGUGCGAUGACACCAGCGUGCCUGCGGAAGUGGCUGUGUCUCCUCUUGCCUCCUUCCCCACCCAAUUCCGCCCCAGGAGCCCAGGGAUGGAGGCCCAGGAGACGGAUCCCACAAGAGCCAGCACCCACUCCACCCCAGGUAGCUGGCAGUAUCUGUCUCUUCAAUCUGACUGAUCACCCAACUUGGGGUGGGGAGCUUUGAAAAAUGUAGACUCCCAGGCCCCACCCCAGAUCCUCUGGCUGGGAUUUGCUGGGUGGUAGAAACCCAAGGAAGUUUGUGUUUUCUAGAACCCCAUAAGAUUCGGAUGCAGCCAGUGGGGGACAGGAACUUCAGCAGGGGAAGCCGCAGCCCUGGGUGUAGACCCCAUCCACUCGUGCCUGAUGCAGCCCUCCUCUCAAGGAAGGGCGAGCUCACUGAAGGGGACAGGUCACAGGUCAGCCCAAUUCACCCUGAGCACAGAAAUGCACACUGCAUUUAGGACGGCCGGAUUGCUGGACCAAACCUGUCUCUCUGUCCCCUGCACACAUAUGCACAUGCGCAUGCACAGAGACGCAUGCUGAACUUCUACGGAAGAGGAGAGCGGUAGGACCAGGCUCUCCAGGGUCCUGCCUUGGGGUCUCUCCCCACAACUGUGGCAUAAACCUCUCUCCAGAAACAGAGGGCCUGAUAACCCGUCAGCUCCCCAGAAUCCGAAUCCUAAAAGGCUCUCCCCAGGGUUCGUCCGGCUUCAGCAGAGACCCUUCCCACCCAGGCCGGAGCUUCUCCCUCUCCCUACACGCUUUUCCACUGUGAGACUGGAACAUCAUCGGGACAGCCCAGAAUGUCCUCUUCCCCUGCAGGAGCUCAGCAAACAUCCACAGAGUGAACAUUCCAAGCAACAUAGUCCAGGAGCCACGUUCCAGCCAUGGGGCCUCUGCACUGCUGUUCUCUUCACAUGGCCUGCCCUUCCCCCAGAAAGAGAGAAGAGGCCCUCUCUGGUUGUCCCAUCAAAACUCCACCCUUCUCUCACCCUCCUCCCAGCUGUAUCCCUUCUCUGCAGCCCUAACAUGCAUUCCACUUUAUUUCCCUUGUCUACUGUCUGCCUCUCUAACUACUAAGUCAGUUCCAGCCGCUCCAGGAUUUUUGUCUUUUCAGUUUAGCCCUGGUUCCUCAGGGCCUUAGUGACUAGUGUGUAGUGCCUAGCAGCCAGUAGAUGCUCAAUAACUGCUUGCUGAUUGACUGGGGUGAGCUCCCCAUCCAUGGAGCUAUUUCAAGCCAAGCCUAGACGAUCUUUCAGGGCUAGUUCUAACCUAAGACUUGGUAGUUCCAUGACUCUCUUCCUGGCCCAGACCGAAAAGGAACUUUCAGCAGGAACCCGGGACUGGGAUCUGAGAUGGGGCUCCUUGGAGGACUCUGACUAGGAAGAGAGACGGGAGGCCGCACCAAAAACACAAGCCCUUCAUGGGUCUCCCAGGCGUAGGUCUGGGGAAUCCCCCAGGCCCCUCAGGAUCGACCCUGCUGGCCCUGGAUCUCCAGGACGCGUCCCUCUGACCUGCCUGCCCGGCCUGUGAGUCCCCGGCAGCAACCGCUGCAGACACAGGCUGCCCAGCGCCAGGGCCAGGCCGGAUUAUCAUACAUUAAGACAUAAUUACUCUGCGGAAAUUUACAAUACAAAGCGCCCUCCCCAAGUUGGCUUCAGAAGGAUUCCAAGGAUACAAAGACCUGCUGUGUCUGCCACCGACCCAAGCUGGCCCCAGCCAGAAUUUCAAAAGAAGUGGGUGGGUUAGUUUUUGGAAAAACCCCAUUCUACCCUCCAGGCAGAAGCCCCGCCCCAAGGGUAGAGCCCUCUGAUACCCCAAGCCCCACCCAGAGGGGAGGGUCCCCUCCACCCCGACCAGCGUUGCUCCUAAACCACUCGGGUUCCCCCAAGCCCAGAAGCUCCAAGCUGACACCACCAAGGUCACCCCACUUCUCCCAAGUUCUCUCUUUUUAGACUAUUUAGGCCUAAGGGCAGAAAGAACCUUAAAUCCCAAGAUGCUAGCUUUUGACCUGCAGAGAGGUGUGGCAGCCCACUGACAUUGAUUAAGCGCCUGCUGUGUGCCUGGUACUGUGCCAGCAUCAGGAUGCCACAGAGAACAAGACAAACCAGAUCGCUGUGCUGGGGGGAGCUUACAGUCCAGUUGAGGAGACGCAGUAAGAUGCUAAAAAAAAAAAAAAUGCACAUCAGGUGUGCAGGAUGGGUGAGUGACCGGGGUGCACGGUGGCCAGAGAGCCUCAAAGGUGGCAUCUGAGCAGAGGCCUGAAUGAGCAAGAGAGACUAGCCUGUGCAAAGGCCCUGAGGUGGGGCCAUGUGUGGUGAGGGGUAGUGGAGGCAGAGAAUGCUGGCUUUUACUCUCAAGAGGGUUUCCAGCAGGGAAGCUGCCUGAUUCGGGGGACACUUGGCCUGCUGUUCUGUUAGAUUCCUGCAUCUACCACCUCCUGGCCCUGGGAUGCUGGGCAAGUCAGUUAGCCCUUUAAGCUUUUGUUCCUCCCUGCAAAAUAAAAACAGUAACCACAGCUAACACACGCUUGUUGCACAGAACAAGACAGAGAAAGUCGGGAAAGGGAGGGCCAUGCAUGUGAGGGGCGGGGGAGAAGCUCUCUGAGCCUUAGCUGCCCCA
Molecule: long non-coding RNA, 3361 nt
Filed under: Homo sapiens (human)
Lineage: Eukaryota; Metazoa; Chordata; Mammalia; Primates; Hominidae
Description: HSALNT0234648
Source: RNAcentral